This is a small nuclear RNA of Gracilinanus agilis (Agile Gracile Mouse Opossum), 107 nucleotides long. NCBI's taxonomy places the organism in Eukaryota, Metazoa, Chordata, Mammalia, Didelphimorphia, Didelphidae. The record is from RefSeq and is a predicted model, not a curated record.
GUGCUUGCUAUAGAAGCACAUAUACUAAAAUUGGAAAGAUACAGAGAAGAUUACCUUGGCCCCUAAACAAGGAUGACAUGAAAAUCUGUGAAGCAUUUUAAUUAAAA